AAUCAAUUUUAUUGCACCUUUGCUGUUAACAAUUUACUCAAUCUACAGCUUCAAUUAAGUAUCCCUUUAUAUUAGUUAUUGAAUAUCUAGGGAAAGAUAUUCAAUAAAGUAUAUCUAUAAAGUAAGUUAUAUUAAUACAGAUCAAUACAUUAGAACAAUUCUACAUAAUUUUUGUUUUUUUUACCGGAAUACGGUACGUUUCUUAACCUAUACUGUAUAUGAUUUUUUUUAUCAAAGCUUCACUGAACCGCGAAAUUGAUGAUGUAUUGAUCUUUGAUACUGAUAGCAUGACUCUUCAGUCGACAAUAGAAUUUUGAACUUAAAACUUUUUGUUUUGUUUACAACACUGAAUUAUAUAAGAAGUCUUGGAUGAUGAGAUUUUUGUAACCCGUUGGUAUUUACGGUGCAGACAUGGAUACAGUUUUUAUGUAUCAUAUUGUAUUAUUAUUAAGAAGGUGUACUUUAUCCUUUUGAGGUUUGGUGUAU
Long non-coding RNA from Mytilus californianus (California mussel), 486 nucleotides. RefSeq lists it as uncharacterized. The record is from RefSeq and is a predicted model, not a curated record. The transcript has 3 exons. NCBI's taxonomy places the organism in Eukaryota, Metazoa, Mollusca, Bivalvia, Mytilida, Mytilidae.